RNAcentral lists this ribosomal RNA (442 nucleotides) under Pseudopoda sp. MR532. Its description in RNAcentral is "partial 16S ribosomal RNA". It matches the Rfam family "Bacterial large subunit ribosomal RNA", at positions 1828 to 2600 of the family's 2925-position model. Lineage: Eukaryota; Metazoa; Arthropoda; Arachnida; Araneae; Sparassidae. The record is from RNAcentral.
AUCUAAUAGUAAUUAUUAUUAGUAAUACCUGCUCAAUGAAAUUUAAAUAGCCGCAGUUUAUACUGUGCUAAGGUAGCAUAAUCAUUUGUCUUUUAAUUUAAGACUAGAAUGAAAGGUUUAACAUUUUAUUUAUUAUAUAUCCCUUUAUAUCUUAAAAUUUUUCUAAAUGUAAAAAAACAUUUAUAUAAAAGAAAGACGACAAGACCCUAUCGAACUUAACUUUAGUUUAACUGGGGCAGUUAAUUAAAAAUCAUUUUAAUUUUAAAUAUAAAAUAAACGAUCCAAUUUAAUUGAUCUAAUAAUCAAGUUACCGUAGGGAUAACAGCGUAAUAAUUUUCUAUAGAUCUUAUAUAAAAAAAAGUUUGCGACCUCGAUGUUGAAUAGUAUUCUAAUAUAUGCAAAAACAUAAAAAGAUAGUCUGUUCGACUAUUAAACAACUACA